This 337-nucleotide ribosomal RNA is filed under the name Escherichia coli. Its description in RNAcentral is "partial 23S ribosomal RNA". It matches the Rfam family "Bacterial large subunit ribosomal RNA", at positions 419 to 758 of the family's 2925-position model. Lineage: Bacteria; Pseudomonadati; Pseudomonadota; Gammaproteobacteria; Enterobacterales; Enterobacteriaceae. The record is from RNAcentral.
GGGACACGUGGUAUCCUGUCUGAAUAUGGGGGGACCAUCCUCCAAGGCUAAAUACUCCUGACUGACCGAUAGUGAACCAGUACCGUGAGGGAAAGGCGAAAAGAACCCCGGCGAGGGGAGUGAAAAAGAACCUGAAACCGUGUACGUACAAGCAGUGGGAGCACGCUUAGGCGUGUGACUGCGUACCUUUUGUAUAAUGGGUCAGCGACUUAUAUUCUGUAGCAAGGUUAACCGAAUAGGGGAGCCGAAGGGAAACCGAGUCUUAACUGGGCGUUAAGUUGCAGGGUAUAGACCCGAAACCCGGUGAUCUAGCCAUGGGCAGGUUGAAGGUUGGGUA